GGGGGGAGGCCAGAUCCUGGGCUGUGUCCCUGGCGCCCUGUGAUCCCGGGCCUGUGCUGUUGGAUUAGCGCUCCCAGCGCACAGCCCCCU
This 90-nucleotide microRNA precursor is filed under the name Canis lupus familiaris (dog). RNAcentral describes it as "mir-8799 microRNA precursor family". It matches the Rfam family "mir-8799 microRNA precursor family". Lineage: Eukaryota; Metazoa; Chordata; Mammalia; Carnivora; Canidae. RNAcentral also lists the same sequence under 1 other name. The record is from Rfam by way of RNAcentral.